RNAcentral lists this ribosomal RNA (462 nucleotides) under uncultured bacterium. RNAcentral describes it as "partial 16S ribosomal RNA". It matches the Rfam family "Bacterial small subunit ribosomal RNA", at positions 28 to 507 of the family's 1533-position model. The record is from RNAcentral.
GACGAACGCUGGCGGCGUGCUUAACACAUGCAAGUCGAACGGAGAGGCCCUUCGGGGUACUCGAGUGGCGAACGGGUGAGUAACACGUGGGUGAUCUGCCCUGCACUUUGGGAUAAGCCUGGGAAACUGGGUCUAAUACCGAAUAGGACCACGCGCUUCAUGGUGUGUGGUGGAAAGCUUUUGCGGUGUGGGAUGGGCCCGCGGCCUAUCAGCUUGUUGGUGGGGUAAUGGCCUACCAAGGCGACGACGGGUAGCCGGCCUGAGAGGGUGACCGGCCACACUGGGACUGAGAUACGCCCCAGACUCCUACGGGAGGCAGCAGUGGGGAAUAUUGCACAAUGGGCGCAAGCCUGAUGCAGCGACGCCGCGUGAGGGAUGACGGCCUUCGGGUUGUAAACCUCUUUCACCAGGGACGAAGCGUAAGUGACGGUACCUGGAGAAGAAGCACCGGCCAACUACGUG